Herpailurus yagouaroundi (jaguarundi) is the source of this 1644-nucleotide long non-coding RNA. RefSeq lists it as uncharacterized. Lineage: Eukaryota; Metazoa; Chordata; Mammalia; Carnivora; Felidae. The transcript has 2 exons. The record is from RefSeq and is a predicted model, not a curated record.
GCUUCUGCGCUGCAGCCCCAGGGCCACGUUGCCAAGACCACUUGCGAUAACCAACCCACUUUGGGUCUUUCCUAGGCUGUAUCCACACCCAGCCAGGAGGCCACCGACCCAGGACCAACCACCAGAGAUGCGGCACAGGCGUCCCCAGGACCAAGCUCAGGUUCAGCGAUUCACUAGGGUUCACAGAGCCCAGCCAAGCCGCUGCACUCACGGUCACAGUCUCUUCCGGCCGAUGGACGGCGGUCAGCUCGCCCAGGACCCUGUGUGACCACACACGCGGGGUGCAGCCAAGCCAGGAAACCAUCGGAGCUCAGGUGUGUAGGUUGUCACUGGGCAUCGGCCACGUAGACGCAGCCGACCUGAGCCUUCUGCGCACCCCCCCACCCCACCCCCCACCCCCGAGGUCCAGCUGAAACCGUGUGGCCCGAGGGCCCCCGUCGAUGCCUCUGGCGUGGGCCGAGACCCCAGGCAAACAAAGGCAGGAUGACAUCCGAAGGGCCCAGAGGUCGCCUCCCAGCAGCUGGGCCAGGGCCAGACCUUUGGAAAGUGCCGGCUGUGGGUACACCCCAGCUGCCCGGUUAACCUUUUCCUGCCCAGUGACACAGCCCGCCGCGCACCAUGUUGGGAGGCACCGGGCCCGAAGGAGCCCGGGUAGGGGACAAUGGGGAAAGAAAGCAUCAGGCAGACUUGGAGCACCCCCCCCGGCCCACCCCCGGGGUGGGGGUGGGGGACAGGAUGCCUGCCGCCCCCUCCCCCUUGUAGGUGGUGAGCGGUGGCCACGCGGAUGUCACAGAGCCCGAAUCCACGCCCAAUCUCACACGGAGGCCCACGCUCCUCCCACGCGCCCACUUGGCCCCUCGGCGAGGUGGGCCCUGCUCGAACCCGCCCAGGCCCCCCAAGAAGAAUGCGAUGGGACCACUUCAGCCUCGGAAUGUGCAGCGAAUGUCUGCAGGGGGCAGGGCGGGGCGGGGCAGGGGCUCCGUUUCUCCCUUCCGGAUGAAGCCCCAACAGAGGAGGCAGCUUCGGGGGACGGAGGGGCCCAGAACAACCCCCUCCUCUGAUGGCAGGGCAAGUCACCACCUCCAGAGAGUAGAAGCGACCUGCCUCUGGUCACGCAGAGCCGUCACGGCCCUCAGCCACCCCCACACCGGGCACCCGUCCAGAGACGUCCCCGAUGCAGGUUUAAUCUUCUGAUUCUUUGUGGAAACAUUUUGGAAGAUCCGUAUCUAACGGCUUUUGUGAACACGGUGGCUCUCCAGGCUGGUCCCCGGGGAGAGCUGUCGAAGCAGGUAGCACCCAAGCGGGCUGGCCUGGGCCCCGGCGGCAGCGACAGACUUUCAGUUCGGCCUAAAGAGGACCAAAAAGCAGGAACCAGAUAAUCCUACCGGCCCUGCCUGCUUACAGACAAGUCUAGAGAAUCCCCGCAGGUAACACAUAGGCCAAGGUUCUGGAAGGUUCACGAACACAGGCACAACGGCCCUGUAAGCGGCAGUGGGACCUGGCCAAUAGAGCUCAAGAUUUGGGGCCCACCUGGCGUAGCUGAACCCCCAGACCUCAGCGUCUGUAACGAGAAGAUGCGAAAACAUCAGCACUGGCCCCAGGGGUAGAGAUAAGCCCUAACAAGAGGGCUUAAGCCAAUGGUUC